Molecule: transfer RNA, 74 nt
Filed under: Bacillus sp. MUM 116
Lineage: Bacteria; Bacillati; Bacillota; Bacilli; Caryophanales; Bacillaceae
Also listed under: 3 other names
Description: tRNA-Gly
Rfam family: tRNA
About the family: Transfer RNA (tRNA) molecules are approximately 80 nucleotides in length. Their secondary structure includes four short double-helical elements and three loops (D, anti-codon, and T loops).
Source: RNAcentral
GCGGGUGUAGUUCAAUGGUAGAACUCCAGCUUCCCAAGCUGGCGGCGCGGGUUCGAUUCCCGUCACCCGCUCCA